This 258-nucleotide ribosomal RNA is filed under the name uncultured bacterium. RNAcentral describes it as "partial 16S ribosomal RNA". It matches the Rfam family "Bacterial small subunit ribosomal RNA", at positions 793 to 1055 of the family's 1533-position model. The record is from RNAcentral.
GUCCACGCCGUAAACGAUGAUAGCUCGAUGUCGGCGAUAUACCGUCGGUGUCUAAGAGAAAUCGAUAAGCUAUCCACCUGGGGAGUACGUUCGCAAGAAUGAAACUCAAAGGAAUUGACGGGGGCCCGCACAAGCGGAGGAACAUGUGGUUUAAUUCGAUGAUACGCGAGGAACCUUACCCGGGCUUGAAAGUUAGCGACGGACCUUGAAAUGGGUCUUCUCUUCGGAGCGCGAAACUAGGUGCUGCAUGGUUGUCGU